Molecule: transfer RNA, 67 nt
Filed under: uncultured Methyloceanibacter sp.
Lineage: Bacteria; Pseudomonadati; Pseudomonadota; Alphaproteobacteria; Hyphomicrobiales; Hyphomicrobiaceae
Also listed under: 1 other name
Rfam family: tRNA
About the family: Transfer RNA (tRNA) molecules are approximately 80 nucleotides in length. Their secondary structure includes four short double-helical elements and three loops (D, anti-codon, and T loops).
Source: RNAcentral
GGCUUAGCUCAGUUGGUAGAGCGGCUGAUUUGUAAUCAGUAGGUCGGGGGUUCGAAUCCUCCAGCCG